AGGACGAACGCUGGCGGCGUGCUUAACACAUGCAAGUCGAACGAGGCCCUGCCUUCGGGCAGGUGACCUAGUGGCGAACGGGUGAGUAACACGUGGGCAACCUACCCUCAGCUCUGGGAUAACCCCGGGAAACCGGAGCUAAUACCGGAUAUGACCAGGAACGACAUCGUUCCUGGUGGAAAGUUUUUCGGCUGAGGAUGGGCCCGCGGCCUAUCAGCUUGUUGGUGGGGUAAUGGCCCACCAAGGCGACGACGGGUAGCC
This 261-nucleotide ribosomal RNA is filed under the name uncultured bacterium. RNAcentral describes it as "partial small subunit ribosomal RNA". It matches the Rfam family "Bacterial small subunit ribosomal RNA", at positions 26 to 288 of the family's 1533-position model. The record is from RNAcentral.